Molecule: ribosomal RNA, 546 nt
Filed under: uncultured Glomeromycotina
Lineage: Eukaryota; Fungi; Glomeromycota
Description: SSU rRNA
Rfam family: Eukaryotic small subunit ribosomal RNA
Source: RNAcentral
UUGGAGGGCAAGUCUGGUGCCAGCAGCCGCGGUAAUUCCAGCUCCAAUAGCGUAUAUUAAAGUUGUUGCAGUUAAAAAGCUCGUAGUUGAAUUUCGGGGUCAGUAGGUUGGUCAUGCCACUGGUAUGUACUGGUCUCACUGAUUCCUCCUUCCUGAUGAACUGUAAUGCCAUUAAUUUGGUGUUGCAGGGAAUCUGGACUGUUACUUUGAAAAAAUUAGAGUGUUUAAAGCAGGCUAACGCCUGAAUACAUUAGCAUGGAAUAAUGAAAUAGGACGUUCGAUCCUAUUUUGUUGGUUUCUAGGAUUGACGUAAUGAUUAAUAGGGAUAGUUGGGGGCAUUAGUAUUCAAUUGUCAGAGGUGAAUUUCUUGGAUUUAUUGAGGACUAACUACUGCGAAAGCAUUUGCCAAGGAUGUUUUCAUUAAUCAAGAACGAAAGUUAGGGGAUCGAAGACGAUCAGAUACCGUAGUAGUCUUAACCAUAAACUAUGCCGACUAGGGAUCGGAUGAUGUUAAUUUUUUAAUGACUCAUUCGGCGCCUUACGGGA